Molecule: long non-coding RNA, 77 nt
Filed under: Pongo abelii (Sumatran orangutan)
Lineage: Eukaryota; Metazoa; Chordata; Mammalia; Primates; Hominidae
Description: lincRNA
Source: RNAcentral
GAGCUCUUUCUGAGAUGAAGAGAACUCUCAAUGUCAAGAUUUCAACAAGAAGAGAAUGGAAUACACGAUACGGACAU